Molecule: transfer RNA, 54 nt
Filed under: Planctomycetaceae bacterium
Lineage: Bacteria; Pseudomonadati; Planctomycetota; Planctomycetia; Planctomycetales; Planctomycetaceae
Description: tRNA-Ser
Rfam family: tRNA
About the family: Transfer RNA (tRNA) molecules are approximately 80 nucleotides in length. Their secondary structure includes four short double-helical elements and three loops (D, anti-codon, and T loops). Further hydrogen bonds mediate the characteristic L-shaped molecular structure. tRNAs have two regions of fundamental functional importance: the anti-codon, which is responsible for specific mRNA codon recognition, and the 3' end, to which the tRNAs corresponding amino acid is attached (by aminoacyl-tRNA synthetases). tRNAs cope with the degeneracy of the genetic code in two manners: having more than one tRNA (with a specific anti-codon) for a particular amino acid; and 'wobble' base-pairing, i.e. permitting non-standard base-pairing at the 3rd anti-codon position.
Source: RNAcentral
UAGAGCAUCGGUCUACGAAACCGAAGGUUACUGGUUCGAAUCCAGUGGGGUGUA